CAAGUAGAUAGUGAAAUCCUGGGGCUCAACCCUUUAAACAUUACCUAAACUGCUAAGCUAGAACAUAGAAGAGGUAGCUGGAAUUCCUUGUGUAGGAGUGAAAUCCGUAGAUAUAAGGAGGAACACCGAUGGCGUAGCCAGGCUACUGGUCUAUUAUUGACACUAAGGCACGAAAGCGUGGGGAGCAAACGGGAUUAGAUACCCCGGUAGUCCACGCCGUAAACUAUGGAUGCUA
Molecule: ribosomal RNA, 235 nt
Filed under: uncultured Candidatus Saccharibacteria bacterium
Lineage: Bacteria; Candidatus Saccharimonadota
Description: partial 16S ribosomal RNA
Rfam family: Bacterial small subunit ribosomal RNA
Source: RNAcentral